GAACCACGCGUCUGUAAUCGAGUGGUUAAGGGUUCCGUGGAUUUUCAAAAAAUCUGAAUUCGAAUCCGCGUGUGUGGCUACCAGAAUUUUUCACAUUCUUUUUCCGGAGAAUUAGUUUACCAUUUUUUUUAUAUACUGAAUAUAUAGACAGGUGUAAAUAUGGUAAAAGUCAAAAUAAUUUUGUACGGUCUUCUUGUCCGUCAAUGAUCGUCAUAAUAUAUCUUUUGAAACCAAGUGAAUACGUAUUUGACUUCCGACCGUAGUCGGCAGGAAUGCUUGACAAUCUUAAAAGAUAAAGUAAAAGUUUCGACAUUCGUUAAUCAUUUUGGUAAACAUUUAUGCGAAAGGCACUUCACCAUUAUUUAACCAGAAACUUACCUAUUUGGCAAUUUUUUAUUUUUUUCGUUCAAAAACGAAACUUACCUAUUUGGCAAGAAUUGUACCUCUGAUAUAUAUUAUAUCCACCUAAAAUAUCUAACUAUUAACUCUUGUUAAUUGUUAUGCUUAUAUUUGCAAUAGUUUGUAGUAUUGCAGGAAAAAGUAUCUGCAUAUUUAAAAUAGUAAACUAUAUGUUACCCACAAUAAAUUAAAAAAAUAUUGUGAAGUCUUGUACGUAGAAUUUUACCCAAAAAAAAAAUCUUGUACGUAGUUUGCAAAUGUGAAUAGGGUCGGAUAUUUUGAAUCUCGCUUCAAUGAUAUUCAGUAAUAUGCGCUAAAUAGAUAUAAUACCGACCGAGGAAAGGCAUUAUGCAUGUACUGGUAAGAUCAGCAAGUGUUAUUCUUUUCAUAGGGUUUAAUCGAAUUUCAUUUUUCAAAUGAUAUAUACAGCUUUUUGGGCCACUGAAAAUUUCAUUAAAUUAUUGUUAAUAUAUUGAUAUAUAUUCACUUAAAGUCCGGGAUAGUCUGAUCAGAGGCGUGCCUACAGUGUAUUGAAAAAGGCAUUCGUCUCAGGCCCCGAUUAAUAUGACUGUUUUUAGGGUCCCAAAAUUUAAAAUAAUUUCUAGUCUAGUGGUUUAGACUUAUUUAAAAAAAAGUAUUUCUACGAAAAUUAAUUAACUCAUUUUGUGAAUUCUUGUAUUUUUUCUAUAUGACAUAAUAUAACAUAUUUACGUUAUAAACUUAUUCUUUUUCAAUAUUAGACUUGUGUAUUUGAUGAAAAUAAUAUAUCAUAUUAGAAAAUUAUUUUCAUUACGUUGUAAAUAAGUUUAUUUUUAGAACUCGCCUUAGGCCCCUAAAAUUCUUCGCACGGCACUGAGUCUGAUAGCACGUAGUAUUAUACAAUCUACAUUAUAGAUGCAUCUAUAAAUUUUUCGACAAAAGCAUUUAUAAUGCAUUUCAUGAAUUAGUUUUCCUUCAUUUCUGUGAAUCAAAGGACCUGAAAAAUAAAGACAAACAAACGAUACGGGAUAAUAAAUCACAUAUGGACUAUCGAGUACAAAUAUUACUAUAAGAUAAUACUUUCCCAACAAGAAAGAAAUUUAAUACUAAAGAACUUUCAGAAGUGAAAUUAUUACGAAAAAGAAUAUGCAAAAUAAUUACGAAAGUGAUUACUUAAUAAUAUAUAUACAUAUAUUUGUUAGAAUAUGCAAAGGAACUAAUUCACGUUCAACGGAGAGAAGGUGACGUGUGUUUCCUUUGAACCCAAGUUCCUUAAACUCUUAUCUUCUGUCUAUAAAUAACACUUUCUCUUCACCUUCUUCUAUCCUCAUUCCCAUCUUCUUAGCUUCACUUUGCCCUCUAAUAUCUUUAAUGUUUAACAACAGAAAAAGAAAGUACAGAAGAAUCUGUAAAGCUCAGGAGGGAUAGCGCCAUCAUCAUCAUCUCAUUCAAAUUGAUAUUUUGGCGCUGUCCAUCCUGAGUUUCAUUGGCUCUUCUUACUACAAUGCUUUAGAGAGACAGCUAAAUUUCAUAAUCAAGCUUAGGGUCUCAAAGAAAUUAACAUAAGAGUAUCUUAUUUCCUUUCUUUUUUGUUUUAUAAAAGAAAAUUAGUCUCUAAAACAAAUCAUGAAGAGAAAAGAAAAGAUCUCUUCUUUGGCCUCUUUAUCCGGUGAAACUCAGCCACCGACGUGUAGUGUUGUUACUACCGUUUUGGUAAGAAUAAAACUUUGAUUAGUGUCGAGCCAAACUUUCUAAACCAAUCAUUCUGCAAAAGGGUGAAAUCCUAUCGUUUAUAUACAAAUAUUCUUACCUUUUUUUUGACAAAAACAAAUAGUCUUAUAUUUUCUAGCCACAGCUGCAAUAUCAUAAAUAUUUUUUUUUCUCUUUUUCUUUUAGAUUUAUUAGGUUUUACUUUAGUGCCUGUGGUUGGGGCCAGGCUAAGUAAGUGAGGAACAUAUAUGCUCUGCUGCAUGAACCACGUGGACUAACAUGCAUAUACGCAGUUACAUUUAUCUUCCUCAUAGGUUUCCCUUUCAGUCUUUUCACUAUAUUUUAAAUUUAUAUUAUCAUGUUGAACAAACCUAGUUGAAACUGAAUAUUUAUUCUCUAUAUGAACAAAGUCUACACUUCUCUCGCUUAAAACUAGCUUGUGAACUAUUUAGUUUGUCUUGUGAGUCCAGUGACUUUUUGCUACCAAACGUUGGGUAACCACAUGUACAGUUAGAUGUAAAUUACUAUAUUAUACAGUCUGAAAGAGUUCAUUAACUAAUGGAACCUUUGAUAAAAUAAAAACGUUUCCAAGUACCACAAAAGAACCAUGCAUUAUCAUAUAUAGUUAUGGAUGAACAGCAGACAGUCAGACAGAGAGAGUCUCUAUUUUCGGUAGCGUUUUUACUCUGAAAAAAAAAAAACAAAUCUGUGAAAUGUUUCUACUAUUUUCUUCCUAUCAGGUUUUCUUUUUUGAGUGUUAAAAAAAAGGCUUGAUAGGAAGAAAAUAUGCAUGAAGAUAUUAUAGAAAUUAAGAACGAAUUAACUUUUAAAAAAUCAAACUAAAUCAUUUACUAAACUUACUGACAGAAUCAUCAAAUUCAUUCAUUAUUGUAAAAUGUGUGCACACGAUAGAGCUUAGACACAACUGAAACUAAACCAAAUCUGAUAAGCAACAUGGAACCGGUUUUAUAACCUCUGAUACUAAUACGUUAUUUUCUUUUUAUAAACGUCUGACAAACGAGUAAUGUCAUAACAAAAUUCUUCAAGUAAAGGUAAUCAAUGAUAUUACAGAUUUUAUUUUAUAAAACAAACGAAGGAGAAAUAGAUCCUGGUAUAUAAUUACCUCCACACCUUACAUUAUUGAUAAAGUUGAAUAAGAGAUAAAUAUUUUUUAAGAUGGGGUCUGAAUUAAAUAAAGAGUUAUUGUGCAUUUAAUUAGGUAUUAUUUGUUGUGCAAGAAAGUCCAAUGAUUAUAAUGUUAACAAGGUCUUAUGUUAACAAAUAAAAAGCUUUUAACUAUUUUGAAUUUUUGUCACUAAUGAAACAAUUUCAUUCAAACAUGUUGAAAUUAUUAUAAUUAAUACAUAAAAUAAAUGAUAAAUUAUUGUGGUAAAUACAAUUAAUGAAAUACUUUGAAUGAAUAAAAAAUAUAUAUGUAAAAAUGUAAUAAAAUAUUUAAAAUAUGUAAGUUUGUUUUGUACUUUUGUAAUAAAUUAUUUUAAAUUAGUUGAAAAAUUAAUAAAUGAAAUGGUUAAAAUUAAUUAAAAAUGAGAAAAAAUGUAAAAUCAUUUACAAAUAGGUAAAUAUUGUUUUGUAUCUAGUUAUAAUAGAAUAUAUAUGUAAUAUAUAUAUGUAAUAUGAUGUUGCCAUAUUGGUAUAGAUUUUUUGCUGUAUACGUUCAUAAUCAGGCAUUGGAAGAGUAAAUGAACUCAAAAGAUAGGUCUUGUUCUGCACAUUUUACUGGGACCGCAAGUCAUGUAAAGCUGCUCUGCUGAUGCUGCACGGCGUCGCAAUCUCUAUUAUUAUUUAUUUCUUUUAACGAACGCUGCUAACAUUUGCCCAAUUCACGAUGAGAAAUAAAAGGUGGCUUCAAUUCGCUGCCUUACUCGUGUACGUCCACUAUGAUGAUUCCUGUAUUUUUUUUACUAAGCUACUGUAUUUUUUUUAUAAUAAAGUCCUCUAUGAUUUUAUAAGGCAUACAAUCAAAUUCAACUCUGCUAAAUGGUACAAACGUGGCUGAUAUUUAUAUUAUUAAUAUGUAUAUAUUCUUAUAAGAUACUAUUAUAUUUCGUGAAAAUGCAUUCCGAGGAGAUUCCAGAUACAUAUUCAAAAUUUGAUUUUGUUAAUAGGUUGUGACUACAUGAACACUUAUUAGGAUUGUUUCCCCCACUUAGAGCAUCUAAAAACACACUUUAUUUUGAAGUUUUAAAUACAUGAAAGCUUAUUACGGUUUUUACAUUUGUCAUAAUUAAUUUAAAUUCAUAAGAAAUUAAAUAACUAGCACAUAUAUAAAAUAAUUAUAACAAUAUUAAUUAAUAAAAUAUUACAUUCAAAUAUAAAAUUUUAAAUAUAAAUAGAUGAUUAAUAUUAAACCUCAUGCAAAAUAUAAUAUUAUUCCAUAAAAUUAUUUUCGUAAUACACAUAUGAUCAAUUAGUGUAUUUCGAAGUAAAAAAUGACUUUCUCUUGUUUUUUAAUUUAAGGAUUACGAGUUAAAAAUUAUUGAAAUCAGAUGAUAUUAAUACUUUUGAACAAGAAAGUAAAAGUGAAAAAUUAAAAUAUUGCUAAAAACUUAACUUUUAUCUAUGAUAUUUAUACUCGUGAAUACAUUCGAUAUGAACAUGAAAGAAUUGUACAAAAAUACAUCAAAAAAAACAACAACAACCAUCUUCGAUUACACAAAACUUGUUUGGAUGAUAUUUUGGAGAUUUUAGAAGUUCCACAUCAAAUUUACCUGACUAUUUGUGUUGUAUAUUAAAUUUUUGUAAUAGUUAUGUCUUCGUGUAACUUUCUAAAGCUUUUUUUCUUAAAUUUCCUUUGUGUAUUGUUAUUGUCUAAAUCUAGUAUUAAAAUAUUUAAAUCUUAUUUUAAAGUGUUAUUUAAUUUAUGUGUAAAAUUUAAAUUUAUAAAAAAUGAAAUGUUUAUGAGAUAUAAAAAUUUGAAGGAUUAAAAUGAUAAACGAGAAGGUAUUUAAGAAUCAUAAAUGUAAUGUGUAAUUAGAAACCAAAAUGCAAACAAAAAUAUGAAACUUCAAAUUCGAAAUUUUGAGUAAUGAAACUUCAAAUAUCUAUAUAUAUAAAGGAGAGUUUUCUCUCACCUUAGCCCUCCACCUCAUCACAUUACAUAGGGCAUUUUGUGACACUUGUCACUUCCUGAUUAAGAAAUUAAUAUCAUCUAUUUAUUUUGUGGGCUAACAAAUCUGUUUUAUUUAUCUAGGCUUUCUGAUUUUAUUUGAUCCAUUAGCUCAAUAAACAAGUUUCUUUAUGGUCACAAUGUAAUGAUUUAGGCCGUCUUAACAUGUUUAUUUGUUGUACUUCUUUACUGGACUUAUCACACUAACGUAGCGUCGUAGCCAGUUAAUAUGAAUUCUCAGUUUUUUUCUAACUGCAGUUGGCAAAGAAAACAUGAACUAAUCAUUGCGUCUUACUCUUCCAACAGAUUCUUUGAAGCGGGAAACAAACAUAGGAGGUUAGCAGCCACAUUACUACCCAGGCUACUUUCAUUGUAACUAAAAGUUUACGCACAAAACAAAAUAAACUGAUUUGUUCCUGUUCAACCUGCAACAUCCAUUGUUGCACCCAGUCAACAAAUAAGAGGCCACCCCUUAAACCAUUUAAACUUCAUUACAAAUCCAUUCAUAAUAUUUAUUUUUCAAGUUUCAUCAAACCAAGAUCAACUAAAAAACAAAAGAGUGAAUUUAACAUUUUUUCUCUUUUAAUUGCUAAAUUCAUGUUAACUAAAAUUAACAAGAUAUUGAUGAAAAACCAUAACCCAAAAAUAGAAAAAAAAACAAUAGGAUGAGAAUAAAAUAUAAAAAUAAAACAAAAUAAAACUGAUUCUUAAAAAUGUUAUCUCAUUAAUUCCAAAAGGCCUUGAACAUAAAUCUAAUAUUGAUAUUAAAAUAAAAAUUGUUUAAUGACAUUGUCCAAACGGAAGACACAAUACAAAAUAAUAUUAAAAAUGCAUAAGAACAAUAAUAACAAUAUAUGACUUAAAAUAAAAUCUGUAGAUGUAAAAAUCUACACCGCCAAAAGAAAAACAUAUCAUACUCCAGUAAAACAAUCUUAACAAUCAUAUAAAAAUAGCAAUAACGGAAAUAAUGAUUCACACCUAAUAUAUUAUGAAAUGAUUCGAAAUAAAAACAAAUGUUAAACAAAAUACUUAAUGAACCCCUCCCCAGCGCUCCGACUUACCAACUACGAUUUGCAAAAUACCAAAAACGCACACCUUA
Brassica rapa (field mustard) is the source of this 6317-nucleotide long non-coding RNA. RefSeq lists it as uncharacterized. The record is from RefSeq and is a predicted model, not a curated record. Lineage: Eukaryota; Viridiplantae; Streptophyta; Magnoliopsida; Brassicales; Brassicaceae.